UCUCUCAAGGAGCGCUGCAGCGCCGGGGGGCAUCGGCCAGAUGCCCGCACCCGGUGUCAGGCUUGAGACGUCGGGGCCACACGGUCCCGGCUGGUCACACAGACCCCCAACGGCGCUCACCAGUU
This 125-nucleotide non-coding RNA is filed under the name Burkholderiales bacterium. Its description in RNAcentral is "SAH sequence". It matches the Rfam family "SAH (S-adenosyl-L-homocysteine) riboswitch aptamer". The record is from RNAcentral. Lineage: Bacteria; Pseudomonadati; Pseudomonadota; Betaproteobacteria; Burkholderiales.